Molecule: transfer RNA, 77 nt
Filed under: Candidatus Omnitrophota bacterium
Lineage: Bacteria; Pseudomonadati; Candidatus Omnitrophota
Description: tRNA-Val
Rfam family: tRNA
About the family: Transfer RNA (tRNA) molecules are approximately 80 nucleotides in length. Their secondary structure includes four short double-helical elements and three loops (D, anti-codon, and T loops).
Source: RNAcentral
GGGCAGCUAGCUCAGUUGGUUAGAGUACUACCUUGACAUGGUAGGGGUCACAGGUUCGAGCCCUGUGCUGCCCACCA